Molecule: ribosomal RNA, 3071 nt
Filed under: Campylobacter jejuni
Lineage: Bacteria; Pseudomonadati; Campylobacterota; Epsilonproteobacteria; Campylobacterales; Campylobacteraceae
Description: 23S ribosomal RNA
Rfam family: Bacterial large subunit ribosomal RNA
Source: RNAcentral
AAAAAAGGUAAGCUACUAAGAGCGAAUGGUGGAUGCCUUGACUGGUAAAGGCGAUGAAGGACGUACUAGACUGCGAUAAGCUACGGGGAGCUGUCAAGAAGCUUUGAUCCGUAGAUUUCCGAAUGGGGCAACCCAAUGUAUAGAGAUAUACAUUACCUAUAUAGGAGCGAACGAGGGGAAUUGAAACAUCUUAGUACCCUCAGGAAAAGAAAUCAAUAGAGAUUGCGUCAGUAGCGGCGAGCGAAAGCGCAAAAGGGCAAACCCAGUGCUUGCACUGGGGGUUGUAGGACUGCAAUGUGCAAGAGGUAAGUUUAGCAGAACAUUCUGGAAAGUAUAACCAUAGAGGGUGAUAGUCCCGUAUGCGAAAAACAAACCUUAGCUAGCAGUAUCCUGAGUAGGGCGGGACACGAGGAAUCCUGUCUGAAUCCGGGUCGACCACGAUCCAACCCUAAAUACUAAUACCAGAUCGAUAGUGCACAAGUACCGUGAGGGAAAGGUGAAAAGAACUGAGGUGAUCAGAGUGAAAUAGAACCUGAAACCAUUUGCUUACAAUCAUUCAGAGCCCUAUGUAGCAAUACAGGGUGAUGGACUGCCUUUUGCAUAAUGAGCCUGCGAGUUGUGGUGUCUGGCAAGGUUAAGCAAACGCGAAGCCGUAGCGAAAGCGAGUCUGAAUAGGGCGCUUAGUCAGAUGCUGCAGACCCGAAACGAAGUGAUCUAUCCAUGAGCAAGUUGAAGCUAGUGUAAGAACUAGUGGAGGACUGAACCCAUAGGCGUUGAAAAGCCCCGGGAUGACUUGUGGAUAGGGGUGAAAGGCCAAUCAAACUUCGUGAUAGCUGGUUCUCUCCGAAAUAUAUUUAGGUAUAGCGUUGUGUCGUAAUAUAAGGGGGUAGAGCACUGAAUGGGCUAGGGCAUACACCAAUGUACCAAACCCUAUCAAACUCCGAAUACCUUAUAUGUAAUCACAGCAGUCAGGCGGCGAGUGAUAAAAUCCGUCGUCAAGAGGGAAACAACCCAGACUACCAGCUAAGGUCCCUAAAUCUUACUUAAGUGGAAAACGAUGUGAAGUUACUUAAACAACCAGGAGGUUGGCUUAGAAGCAGCCAUCCUUUAAAGAAAGCGUAAUAGCUCACUGGUCUAGUGAUUUUGCGCGGAAAAUAUAACGGGGCUAAAGUAAGUACCGAAGCUGUAGACUUGCACACAACUUAGAUUAUUUAAGUUUAGAAUAUGAGAAACUAAGUUAUAUGUUUAGUUAUAUUUUUACUGAUUUUUAUAGAGUAAAGAUAGAAAUAAAACUUAGUAAAAUCAGUAAAAAUAUUCUUAGACUAAAGUUAAGUAGUUUAAGUUGUGUGCAAGUGGUAGGAGAGCGUUCUAUUUGCGUCGAAGGUAUACCGGUAAGGAGUGCUGGAGCGAAUAGAAGUGAGCAUGCAGGCAUGAGUAGCGAUAAUUAAUGUGAGAAUCAUUAACGCCGUAAACCCAAGGUUUCCUACGCGAUGCUCGUCAUCGUAGGGUUAGUCGGGUCCUAAGUCGAGUCCGAAAGGGGUAGACGAUGGCAAAUUGGUUAAUAUUCCAAUACCAACAUUAGUGUGCGAUGAAAGGACGCUUAGGGCUAAGGGGGCUAGCGGAUGGAAGUGCUAGUCUAAGGUCGUAGGAGGUUAUACAGGCAAAUCCGUAUAACAAUACUCCGAGAACUGAAAGGCUUUUUGAAGUCUUCGGAUGGAUAGAAGAACCCCUGAUGCCGUCGAGCCAAGAAAAGUUUCUAAGUUUAGCUAAUGUUGCCCGUACCGUAAACCGACACAGGUGGGUGGGAUGAGUAUUCUAAGGCGCGUGGAAGAACUCUCUUUAAGGAACUCUGCAAAAUAGCACCGUAUCUUCGGUAUAAGGUGUGGUUAGCUUUGUAUUAGGAUUUACUCCGAAAGCAAGGAAACUUACAACAAAGAGUCCCUCCCGACUGUUUACCAAAAACACAGCACUCUGCUAACUCGUAAGAGGAUGUAUAGGGUGUGACGCCUGCCCGGUGCUCGAAGGUUAAUUGAUGGGGUUAGCAUUAGCGAAGCUCUUGAUCGAAGCCCGAGUAAACGGCGGCCGUAACUAUAACGGUCCUAAGGUAGCGAAAUUCCUUGUCGGUUAAAUACCGACCUGCAUGAAUGGCGUAACGAGAUGGGAGCUGUCUCAAAGAGGGAUCCAGUGAAAUUGUAGUGGAGGUGAAAAUUCCUCCUACCCGCGGCAAGACGGAAAGACCCCGUGGACCUUUACUACAGCUUGACACUGCUACUUGGAUAAGAAUGUGCAGGAUAGGUGGGAGGCUUUGAGUAUAUGACGCCAGUUGUAUAUGAGCCAUUGUUGAGAUACCACUCUUUCUUAUUUGGGUAGCUAACCAGCUUGAGUUAUCCUCAAGUGGGACAAUGUCUGGUGGGUAGUUUGACUGGGGCGGUCGCCUCCCAAAUAAUAACGGAGGCUUACAAAGGUUGGCUCAGAACGGUUGGAAAUCGUUCGUAGAGUAUAAAGGUAUAAGCCAGCUUAACUGCAAGACAUACAAGUCAAGCAGAGACGAAAGUCGGUCUUAGUGAUCCGGUGGUUCUGUGUGGAAGGGCCAUCGCUCAAAGGAUAAAAGGUACCCCGGGGAUAACAGGCUGAUCUCCCCCAAGAGCUCACAUCGACGGGGAGGUUUGGCACCUCGAUGUCGGCUCAUCGCAUCCUGGGGCUGGAGCAGGUCCCAAGGGUAUGGCUGUUCGCCAUUUAAAGCGGUACGCGAGCUGGGUUCAGAACGUCGUGAGACAGUUCGGUCCCUAUCUGCCGUGGGCGUAAGAAGAUUGAAGAGAUUUGACCCUAGUACGAGAGGACCGGGUUGAACAAACCACUGGUGUAGCUGUUGUUCUGCCAAGAGCAUCGCAGCGUAGCUAAGUUUGGAAAGGAUAAACGCUGAAAGCAUCUAAGCGUGAAGCCAACUCUAAGAUGAAUCUUCUCUAAGCUCUCUAGAAGACUACUAGUUUGAUAGGCUGGGUGUGUAAUGGAUGAAAGUCCUUUAGCUGACCAGUACUAAUAGAGCGUUUGGCUUAUCUUUAAUAAAGCAU